Molecule: long non-coding RNA, 1353 nt
Filed under: Cyanistes caeruleus (blue tit)
Lineage: Eukaryota; Metazoa; Chordata; Aves; Passeriformes; Paridae
Description: lncRNA (ENSCCEG00000019761.1)
Source: RNAcentral
AUGGAUUCUGCCCUGGGCAGAGGAGCCCUUGGAGGGGCUCUGUCCGGGGAUGGAGGGGACAGCUCACCCCUGCUGCCCUUCAAAGCCUCCAGCUGGCACUGGACGUGUUUUCUCCAGCCUAGGCCAGACCCAAAGUCCAGCCCCAGGGUCCCAGCAAUGCACCAAGGUGCAGGGAUGAGCUCCAGAGUCAACUCUGGGACACAAACGUCAAAGUGGAAACAUCUCUGGGUAUCACUGGCCAAAAUGGGGCAGCAGCUGAGUGCUCCAGGCAAGGCCAGGGGUGAGCUAGGUCCACCAAACCUGGCUUUUCCUGCUAUCCUUCCCACCAAACCUGGCUUUCCCUGCUGUCCUUCCCACCAAACCUGGCUUUACCUCCGUGUCCUUCCCACCAAACCUGGCUUUUCCUUCUGUCCUUCCAACCAAACCUGGCUUUUCUCCAUGUCCUUCCCACCAAACCUGGCUUUCCCUCCGUGUCCUUCCCACCAAACCUGGCUUUACCUCCGUGUCCUUCCCACCAAACCUGGCUUUCCCUGCUGUCCUUCCCACCAAACCUGGCUUUUCCUUCUGUCCUUCCAACCAAACCUGGCUUUACCUCCAUGUCCUUCCCACCAAACCUGGCUUUUCUCCGUGUCCUUCCAACAAAACCUGGCUUUUACUUCUGUCCUUCCCACCAAACCUGGCUUUCCUUGCCGUCCUUCCCACCAAACCUGGCUUUCCCUCCGUGUCCUUCCCACCAAACCUGGCUUUUCUCCGUGUCCUUCCCACCAAACCUGGCUUUUCCUGCUGUCCUUCCCACCAAACCUGGCUUUUCUCCGUGUCCUUCCAACCAAACCUGGCUUUUCCUUCUGUCCUUCCCACCAAACCUGGCUUUCCCUGCUGUCCUUCCCACCAAACCUGGCUUUUCCUCCGUGUCCUUCCCACCAAACCUGGCUUUUCCUUCUGUCCUUCCAACCAAACCUGGCUUUUCUCCAUGUCCUUCCCACCAAACCUGGCUUUCCCUCCGUGUCCUUCCCACCAAACCUGGCUUUACCUCCGUGUCCUUCCCACCAAACCUGGCUUUCCCUGCUGUCCUUCCCACCAAACCUGGCUUUCCCUCCGUGUCCUUCCCACCAAACCUGGCUUUCCCUCCGUGUCCUUCCCACCAAACCUGGCUUUUCCUGCUGUCCUUCCCACCAAACCUGGCUUUUCUCCGUGUCCUUCCCACCAAACCUGGCUUUUCCUUCUGUCCUUCCCACCAAACCUGGCUUUUCUCCGUGUCCUUCCCACCAAACCUGGCUUUUUCUUCUGUCCUUCCCACCAAACCUGGCUUUCCCUGCACAUACAGAUGAUUUCUUUCCUGUUUACAAACCCUGA